Coregonus clupeaformis (lake whitefish) is the source of this 109-nucleotide long non-coding RNA. RefSeq lists it as uncharacterized. The transcript is spliced from 3 exons. The record is from RefSeq and is a predicted model, not a curated record. Lineage: Eukaryota; Metazoa; Chordata; Actinopteri; Salmoniformes; Salmonidae.
CGGUGUAUGUGAUAGUGUUCUAAGACAAGGGUGUAUGUGAUAGUGUUCUAAGACAAGGGUGUAUGUGAUAGUGUUCUAAUAACUAAGACAAGGGUGUAUGUGAUAGUGU